UAGGUUUCUAGGUAUUCUUACAUAUACUCGAUGUAUACAUGAAAAAAAAAAUGAAGACAAUAUAAUAUAAAUAUUUAUACUGUAGAAAGGGCACAAGGAGAGAUUGCUGAUAACAAUUGGUAUUAAGAGCUAUAAAAUUGGUAUUAAGAAUCUAGUAUUUUGUCUAAUUUUAAACUUGAUAUCUCUAUAACUCAUUGAGACUGAAAGGAUUAAACAUAUAUAAUUAUUAAAUACGUGCAUACAUACAUAUAUACAGGGUGUUAAUUUUUAAGUCGAGCAUUUAAUUUAUUUCGACUGUUAUUGAUGUCAAGGAAUAAUGAGAUUUAACCUCUUGCGUUGGAUUGAUGUGCCACGCGCACGUUUUUUAUCCGAAAAUUGCAAUAUUUUCUCAGUUUUAAUAUAUUUAAAUAUAACCCAGACAACAACAAAUAAUAAAUUUAUUACUUCUUAGUAAUUUUUACUUAUUAAACAUGUAAUUGGUCUAAUCGCGACAUCUCUUAGAGUAACUAGUCAAUAAGUAAUUGUCACGUGGUUCGUUCGUUUUUAUUCCUUAGCAACCAAGCAAGAUGUGUACAUUUGUACGUAAGUCGAUCAGUGUGAAUGAUAUACUUUGAAUUGUGUUUGAGUUUAAAAUAUUUUCUUCUCUACCUUAAACCAUUGGAAACAACAAAUUUCUAUCCAGUGAUAUACCGAUGAAUUCAAAAAGAAGACGAAUUAUUGUAUACGGUUUGGUCACUCGUUAUGGUCUGCGAACCAGUUGCCAGCGCCAGAGGUUAAAUGGUUUGAAAGGCGUGCAUUUGAGGUUAGUAAAAAAAAAACCUGCAAAGGUCAUCGUGCAUACUUUUUUCGUGUAUUAACAUUUUUUAUAACACUCUAAUAAUUGAUUUAAAAUUAACAUCCUGUAUGUUUUACAAAGAAUGCCAAUGAAUAAUGGGAGUCAACAUAUUCUAUCACAAUAAAUACUGUUGUUCGUUCCCAUUAUGAAGUACGUAUAAUUGUUAGACUGCGGAUUUUUAUUGCGAAUUCAUAUUUUUACGAAUGAAAUUCAGAAAAACGCAACUAGGUAGGAAAUUGUUCUCUCUGUUAAUUGUCACCUCUAUGCAUUUUUGCAUUUUCAAACUUCUCACAAAUGCGUAAAAAUCCGCAGUCUAGUAAUUAUCUACGAAGCAUUCAAAUCGAAUUUCAUCGUGAUAAAGAAACACUUUUGUGAUAUUGGAUUUUGGUUAAUUUGCAUAAUUUUUAUUCAUUCGUUAAAUGGUUACUUUUUUUAACUAAAUGUCACCGUCACGAAAAUUGACAAAUUACAAGUAUUCAACGUGAAAAAAAAUUUAUUGGUCUUGGGAAGUCUAUUGACAUAUAAUACAUGGAAUGAAAUCAGCGAACGAUAAAUAAUUGGCAAUUAUUUUUGCAGAAACGAUCGUUUAAUUAUUUUUUUUAUUUAUUUAGUUAUUUAAAUAGUGACGGGCAGAUGCCCUAUUAUACAGGAAAAAAAAUAAAAUAUAUAUAUUCUGAGAAU
Long non-coding RNA from Frieseomelitta varia, 1516 nucleotides. RefSeq lists it as uncharacterized. NCBI's taxonomy places the organism in Eukaryota, Metazoa, Arthropoda, Insecta, Hymenoptera, Apidae. The transcript is spliced from 2 exons. The record is from RefSeq and is a predicted model, not a curated record.